GUAAUGAUGGCCAGGCUGUCUCCACCCGAGACUCAGUGAAAUUGAACUCGCUGUGAAGAUGCAGUGUACCCGCGGCAAGACGGAAAGACCCCGUGAACCUUUACUAUAGCUUGACACUGAACAUUGAGCCUUGAUGUGUAGGAUAGGUGGGAGGCUUUGAAGUGUGGACGCCAGUCUGCAUGGAGCCGACCUUGAAAUACCACCCUUUAAUGUUUGAUGUUCUAACGUGGACCCGUAAUCCGGGUUGCGGACAGUGUCUGGUGGGUAGUUUGACUGGGGCGGUCUCCUCCUAAAGAGUAACGGAGGAGCACGAAGGUUGGCUAAUCCUGGUCGGACAUCAGGAGGUUAGUGCAAUGGCAUAAGCCAGCUUGACUGCGAGCGUGACGGCGCGAGCAGGUGCGAAAGCAGGUCAUAGUGAUCCGGUGGUUCUGAAUGGAAGGGCCAUCGCUCAACGGAUAAAAGGUACUCCGGGGAUAACAGGCUGAUACCGCCCAAGAGUUCAUAUCGACGGCGGUGUUUGGCACCUCGAUGUCGGCUCAUCACAUCCUGGGGCUGAAGUAGGUCCCAAGGGUAUGGCUGUUCGCCAUUUAAAGUGGUACGCGAGCUGGGUUUAGAACGUCGUGAGACAGUUCGGUCCCUAUCUGCCGUGGGCGCUGGAGAACUGAGGGGGGCUGCUCCUAGUACGAGAGGACCGGAGUGGACGCAUCACUGGUGUUCGGGUUGUCAUGCCAAUGGCACUGCCCGGUAGCUAAAUGCGGAAGAGAUAAGUGCUGAAAGCAUCUAAGCACGAAACUUGCCCCGA
Molecule: ribosomal RNA, 802 nt
Filed under: Salmonella enterica
Lineage: Bacteria; Pseudomonadati; Pseudomonadota; Gammaproteobacteria; Enterobacterales; Enterobacteriaceae
Also listed under: 1 other name
Description: partial 23S ribosomal RNA
Rfam family: Bacterial large subunit ribosomal RNA
Source: RNAcentral